RNAcentral lists this long non-coding RNA (3346 nucleotides) under Mus caroli (Ryukyu mouse). Its description in RNAcentral is "lncRNA (MGP_CAROLIEiJ_G0002323.1)". The record is from RNAcentral. Lineage: Eukaryota; Metazoa; Chordata; Mammalia; Rodentia; Muridae.
GGAGCCUGCAGGAGCUGGGAACUGGAUGCGCCUCAUCUGUGAUUCCAAAAGCGAUCCUGCCUGUGUUCCAGGUUUCCAGCUUGUCACUGUUUAUCUGAUCAUCUCUUUGGCCAUUUUAGUACACAGGGAUUCAAUCACUAACCACGAGACUGUUUCCCAGCUUCUCCUUCCUCCCCACUCACAUGCACUUGGCCGGAUGGACCGACCCAUGCACACUCUGGUUCCGUUAUUCACAGGGCAUUUGCAGCCUAUGAACCUGUGAAACCCGAGUCGCCCUGCGUCCUGGAAGGGAGACGCUCACCGCCCCCGCGUCCCGACCUCUGGCUUACCUUUUCGUGGGUAGACACCGUGGCCAGACAGCCCCAGGAGCUAGCGUGGGCUAGGGAGCGGGCGGUGCUGGCAUGCACCCUGGGGCCAGGGGAUGCCUCAGAUGAGCCGCUCUCCCGCCGGUAGGAGAACAUGCCACGCGCGGCCGGUGCGGGCCUGGCGCGGGCGGAGCCCCGAGGUCGCAGGUGCGUGUCCUCCUUGUGCGCCGAGGCCGGAAAGCUCUGCUGCCAGAUGCUACUCGAGUCCUCCAGCAGCGCGGGCAGCGCCUCCUCAGUGGAUGCGCUGUCCAGCUCCUCGUCUACCUCGUUGGUGACAGCCCAGGACACCGAGCUCACAAUCACGUAGCCGGCGGCUGGGGACAACAGGGCGCUGCAGCAUAGCAACCAGGACAGGCGACUCCCUGGCCAAGCAGGACGCUCCCUGCCGGACAGCGACAUCUUCUUGGAGGCGACGCGCUCUGUGGCGGGGACCACUGGCCAAGCAGCGGCCAGCCAGGGGCGCCCCCCUGCGGCGGAGCGUGCGUUGGAACCCUUCUCCCCGUGAUAGGAUUCCCGGGUUGAGGGUCUCCAAUCAGUCCGGGGCCGAGGUUCCCUAUUGCCUUACACUCCCGUAAGAAGCGACGUCUGCUGCACGACCAGAGUCCCCUGCGCCCACCGCCGCUGCUGGGCUCAGAGUCCACGCGUGUCUUGGUUUUCCGCAGGAUGGGAAGCGUUUUGCAGCCAGAGGGUGGGCGUUCACAGCUCAGGCUCAAUGCACUCCUCCGCUCGUCAGCUGUGCGAUUCUACCAAGCUGAUUAACUUCUCUGAGCCAACAAGAAGGGCAUCGCCAGGCUCAGUUAUUGCACCCCAUCACCUCCGCAGAACCGAGAACCACAAUACGCCCACAUCUUCCAUCACUCACCCAGUCAGCGGUGUUGUGCGUCAGCCAGCUUCCUUAUCUGGUUCUGUACUUGGCCUGCUAGGACAGUCUGGAAAGUCCUUUUCGAAGGGGGAAGGUACUGGGUGGUCUUGAACUCAUUUUGGAUAUUAUAGUAUCUGCUGAGUGCGCUGUACAGCGGCUGCUGAUUCAUGUUUGUCUUUGCUACUGGACUGAGAACAAUGAAGACUGGGAUUGUCCCUAAGAACUAUUUCUAAAGAGGUCUACUUCUCCUGCAUCCUAAUAACCGUUCUUUUCCAUUACUGGUAGGUGGUGGGCUAGAGGGGGGUUGAAAACUUAUCGAGGUAGGUUGUGAAAAACAUAUGCCUCCAGGGUGGUAUUCAUUCUCUCAGAUAAAUACCCAGAAGUGGGAUUAAUGGGUCGUAUGGUGGUUCUGUUUUUGUUUUCUUUUUUGAGAUAGGGUCUUUCUACACAUUCCUAACUGUUCUAGUUUAUUUUUCACUUUUGACAUUAAAUAGUUAAUGAAAAUAUAUUUACAUCAUUUACCUCCUUCCCUUUCUUCCUCCGAUCCUUAAAAAGUUCCCCCCAAUCCCUGCCCUGUCUUCCAAUCACUCCCUCUCAAACUCAUGACUUGGUUUUUAAAGAUUAUUUUGUCUAUACAUACAUACAUACAUACAAACAUGCAAUCUGCUCAGUCCAUUUAGAGUUGCUGCUGUGUGCCUAUGAUUUCAGGGCUGAGCAAUUGGUAUUGCAAAACCAAUCAGGGGGCUCACCUCUGAGGGAGACUCAUUCUCUCUCUUUCGGGAGUCUUUGUCUAUGGGCGGGGCACCAUGAGAUUUCCCCUUCCAUGUGAGAGUACCCAGGGUAGCUGGUGUGCUUCUUCAGGUCCUGUCUGGACAGAUCUAUUGUUGUGCUAUCAUGGCUGAAACUUCCCUGUUGCUCCCAGACACAAUCUCACAGUGGGCUUCUUGGUCCUUUGACUCUUACAAUUUAAUUUUUUUCAUAUUAUCUGCAGCACUGGUUUUUUUUUGUUUUCCUUGUGUUUGCUUUUAAGCAUUGGCUGUCCUAGCAGGUGUGAGGUGAUGUAUCACUGUAACUUAUGUCCAUCCUUCCCCGAUGACCACUAAUGUCAGCCUCUUCUGGUGUGUGCUCUGCCCAUGGACACAGCUUCUUGGUAGAGAUGUUUAUUUAGGUUCUUUGCUCAUCUAAAAACUGGAUUUUAUUUUUGUUGUUGAAUUGUAGGAGGUUUCUGUAUGUAUUUUAGAUGUUAAUACUUUGACCAAGUUUGCUUUCUGUUAAUGUGAUAAAACACUUUGACCAAAAGCAACUUGAGGGCUAGAUCAGUUCAGUUUCUGUUGCUGUGAUAAAAUGUGGACCAGAAGCAGCUUGGGGAAGAAAGGGUCUAUUUUGUUCUCAAAACUCCCAUGUCACAAUCCAUCACUGAGAGAAGCCAAGGCAGGAACCUAGAGGCUGAAACUGAAGCAGAGCCCAUGCAGGAAAGUGUUUACCGGUCUGCUUUCAGGUCACAUUCAGACACUUCUACACAACUCAGGACCACCCACCUAGGGGUGGCACCUCCCACUGUGGGCUAGGCCUUAGUCUAUUAAUCAAGUAAAAGCAGACAAGCCCACAAGACAAUCUGAUGGCGGCAAUUCCUCAACUGCGGUUUCCUCUUCCCAGGUGUCUCCAGUUUGUGACAAAUUGAUACAAACUAGCCAGUACAGGGGAGGAAAGGGAGGGUUUAUUUCAACCUAUACAGUAUGGACUGCCUUUGGAGGAUCUCAAGGUAGGAACUAAAGCAGAUACCAUGGAAGAUCUCGGGUUGCUGGGUCACUCCCCGACACAUGCCUAGCUGGUUUGUCUGUAUAGCCCAGCUUGCCUAUCAGUGGUGGUGCCAGCCACAAUGGGCUGGGCCUUUCCAUAUGAGUCUGACAGUCUCUCACAGACAUGGCCACAGGCCAGCCUGACGGAGGCAGUGCUUCAGACAAGAUUCUUGCUUCUUAGGUGACUUCUGUCAGGUUGACAGUAAGAACAAGCCAGCACACUCCUUGUCCGACACGUCGCUCACAACUAUUUUCUCAUUCCGUAGCUUUCUGGUGUGUCAUUCACCUUGUUGGGCCUAUUAAUAAAUGGAUGCAUCCCC